AAUGCCUAGGAAUCUGCCUGGUAGUGGGGGAUACGUUCGGAAACGGACGCUAAUACCGCAUACGUCCUACGGGAGAAAGCAGGGGACCUUCGGGCCUUGCGCUAUCAGAUGAGCCUAGGUCGGAUUAGCUAGUUGGUGAGGUAAUGGCUCACCAAGGCGACGAUCCGUAACUGGUCUGAGAGGAUGAUCAGUCACACUGGAACUGAGACACGGUCCAGACUCCUACGGGAGGCAGCAGUGGGGAAUAUUGGACAAUGGGCGAAAGCCUGAUCCAGCCAUGCCGCGUGUGUGAAGAAGGUCUUCGGAUUGUAAAGCACUUUAAGUUGGGAGGAAGGGUUGUAGAUUAAUACUCUGCAAUUUUGACGUUACCGACAGAAUAAGCACCGGCUAACUCUGUGCCAGCAGCCGCGGUAAUACAGAGGGUGCAAGCGUUAAUCGGAAUUACUGGGCGUAAAGCGCGCGUAGGUGGUUUGUUAAGUUGGAUGUGAAAUCCCCGGGCUCAACCUGGGAACUGCAUUCAAAACUGACUGACUAGAGUAUGGUAGAGGGUGGUGGAAUUUCCUGCGUAGCGGUGAAAUGCGUAGAUAUAGGAAGG
This 595-nucleotide ribosomal RNA is filed under the name uncultured bacterium. RNAcentral describes it as "bacterial SSU rRNA". It matches the Rfam family "Bacterial small subunit ribosomal RNA", at positions 112 to 704 of the family's 1533-position model. The record is from RNAcentral.